UACGUAGGGUGCAAGCGUUAAUCGGAAUUACUGGGCGUAAAGCGUGCGCAGGCGGUUUUGUAAGACAGAUGUGAAAUCCCCGGGCUCAACCUGGGAACUGCGUUUGUGACUGCAAGACUCGAGUGCGGGAGAGGGGGGUGGAAUUCCACGUGUAGCAGUGAAAUGCGUAGAGAUGUGGAGGAACACCGAUGGCGAAGGCAGCCCCCUGGGUCGACACUGACGCUCAUGCACGAAAGCGUGGGGAGCAAACAGG
This 253-nucleotide ribosomal RNA is filed under the name uncultured bacterium. Its description in RNAcentral is "partial 16S ribosomal RNA". It matches the Rfam family "Bacterial small subunit ribosomal RNA", at positions 524 to 776 of the family's 1533-position model. The record is from RNAcentral.